Molecule: ribosomal RNA, 253 nt
Filed under: uncultured bacterium
Lineage: Bacteria
Description: partial 16S ribosomal RNA
Rfam family: Bacterial small subunit ribosomal RNA
Source: RNAcentral
UACGGAGGGUGCAAGCGUUAUCCGGAAUUACUGGGUUUAAAGGGUGCGUAGGCGGCUGUAUAAGUCAGAGGUGAAAGGUUGUCGCUUAACGAUAGAAUUGCCUUUGAUACUGUAUAGCUUGGAACUAGGUGAGGUUGGCGGAAUGUGACAUGUAGCGGUGAAAUGCAUAGAUAUGUCAUAGAACACGGAUUGCGAAGGCAGGUGGCUAACGUAAGUUUGACGCUGAGGCACGAAAGCGUGGGUAGCAAGCAGG